RNAcentral lists this ribosomal RNA (484 nucleotides) under uncultured bacterium. RNAcentral's name for it is "partial 16S ribosomal RNA". It matches the Rfam family "Bacterial small subunit ribosomal RNA", at positions 30 to 507 of the family's 1533-position model. The record is from RNAcentral.
AUUGAACGCUGGCGGCAUGCUUUACACAUGCAAGUCGAACGGCAGCGCGGGCUUUGCUUUGGCGGCGAGUGGCGCACGGGUGAGUAAUGCAUCGGAAACUGCCCUGUAGUGGGGGAUUGCCCUGCGAAAGCCGGAUUAAUACCGCCUACGACCUGCGGCUGAACGUGGGGGACCGAAAAGCCUUGCGCUAUUUGAGCGGCCGAUGUCGGAUUAGCUAGUUGGUGGGGUAAAGGCUUACCAAGGCGACGAUCCGUAGCUGGUCUGAGAGGACGACCAGCCACACUGGAACUGAAACACGGCCCAGACUCCUACGGGAGGCAGCAGUGGGGAAUUUUGGACAAUGGGAGCAACCCUGAUCCAGCCAAGCCGCGUGCGGGAAGAAGGCCUUCGGGUUGUAAACCGCAUUUGUUCGGGAAGAAAACCUCUGGGCUAAUAGCCCGGGGGGAUGACGGUACCGGAAGAAUAAGCACCGGCUAACUACGUG